RNAcentral lists this ribosomal RNA (1463 nucleotides) under uncultured Klebsiella sp. Its description in RNAcentral is "bacterial SSU rRNA". It matches the Rfam family "Bacterial small subunit ribosomal RNA". The record is from RNAcentral. Lineage: Bacteria; Pseudomonadati; Pseudomonadota; Gammaproteobacteria; Enterobacterales; Enterobacteriaceae.
AUUGAACGCUGGCGGCAGGCCUAACACAUGCAAGUCGAGCGGUAGCACAGAGAGCUUGCUCUCGGGUGACGAGCGGCGGACGGGUGAGUAAUGUCUGGGAAACUGCCUGAUGGAGGGGGAUAACUACUGGAAACGGUAGCUAAUACCGCAUAACGUCGCAAGACCAAAGUGGGGGACCUUCGGGCCUCAUGCCAUCAGAUGUGCCCAGAUGGGAUUAGCUAGUAGGUGGGGUAAUGGCUCACCUAGGCGACGAUCCCUAGCUGGUCUGAGAGGAUGACCAGCCACACUGGAACUGAGACACGGUCCAGACUCCUACGGGAGGCAGCAGUGGGGAAUAUUGCACAAUGGGCGCAAGCCUGAUGCAGCCAUGCCGCGUGUGUGAAGAAGGCCUUCGGGUUGUAAAGCACUUUCAGCGGGGAGGAAGGCGUUAAGGUUAAUAACCUUGGCGAUUGACGUUACCCGCAGAAGAAGCACCGGCUAACUCCGUGCCAGCAGCCGCGGUAAUACGGAGGGUGCAAGCGUUAAUCGGAAUUACUGGGCGUAAAGCGCACGCAGGCGGUCUGUCAAGUCGGAUGUGAAAUCCCCGGGCUCAACCUGGGAACUGCAUUCGAAACUGGCAGGCUAGAGUCUUGUAGAGGGGGGUAGAAUUCCAGGUGUAGCGGUGAAAUGCGUAGAGAUCUGGAGGAAUACCGGUGGCGAAGGCGGCCCCCUGGACAAAGACUGACGCUCAGGUGCGAAAGCGUGGGGAGCAAACAGGAUUAGAUACCCUGGUAGUCCACGCCGUAAACGAUGUCGAUUUGGAGGUUGUGCCCUUGAGGCGUGGCUUCCGGAGCUAACGCGUUAAAUCGACCGCCUGGGGAGUACGGCCGCAAGGUUAAAACUCAAAUGAAUUGACGGGGGCCCGCACAAGCGGUGGAGCAUGUGGUUUAAUUCGAUGCAACGCGAAGAACCUUACCUGGUCUUGACAUCCACAGAACUUUCCAGAGAUGGAUUGGUGCCUUCGGGAACUGUGAGACAGGUGCUGCAUGGCUGUCGUCAGCUCGUGUUGUGAAAUGUUGGGUUAAGUCCCGCAACGAGCGCAACCCUUAUCCUUUGUUGCCAGCGGUUAGGCCGGGAACUCAAAGGAGACUGCCAGUGAUAAACUGGAGGAAGGUGGGGAUGACGUCAAGUCAUCAUGGCCCUUACGACCAGGGCUACACACGUGCUACAAUGGCAUAUACAAAGAGAAGCGACCUCGCGAGAGCAAGCGGACCUCAUAAAGUAUGUCGUAGUCUGGAUUGGAGUCUGCAACUCGACUCCAUGAAGUCGGAAUCGCUAGUAAUCGUAGAUCAGAAUGCUACGGUGAAUACGUUCCCGGGCCUUGUACACACCGCCCGUCACACCAUGGGAGUGGGUUGCAAAAGAAGUAGGUAGCUUAACCUUCGGGAGGGCGCUUACCACUUUGUGAUUCAUGACUGGGGUGA